CUUCUUCUUGCCACUAGACCAAAUCCUUUUCCUUUUUGCAUGACACUUUUUUGAGUUUCAUUUCUCUUAUUUAUAGAGAAAAUCUUUUGAUGGGGAUGGUUUUUUUUCUCUUUUGCAUUAAUGAUUAGAAUUUAUCAUUGUUAAAUGGUACUCCCUCAAUAACUUUUUGAUUUAAAAAAAAAAACUGUCCUUUCAUUCAUAAUCAUCAUCUCCUUUAUUAUAUUACUCUAAACUGUUGCUAAAGUUCCUUUUUGUAUAUUUUCCCUACAUGAACUUUUGCUGUACUGUGAAAGUUGAUGAACUUUUAUUGUACAAUGUUUUGGUCCAGUAGCUAACAGCCCUUUUAUUUAAUUCUGAGAGGUCUCUUUCUCUUUCUCUUCACACUUUCACAUGUUUCCGUUUCCUGUAGAUUUCUCCUUUCUCUUUCCUUGGUUCUUUUUCCAACUCAUAAUCUUCAUGUGAUUUCAAUUUUUGUUUGUUUUUAUUCCAUCCUUUGUCUCUUUUGAUAUGGGUGACAAACAUCUUCUCUUGCUGAAUAAAAAAUUUCACCUUUUUUCAGUGUAUGCAGAUUCAGGGGAUAUAAAGACAUAAAGGAUGAAUCUUUUAUGGUAUAACAUGGAUAUGAGGAACAGUAUGUCUUCAGAAUCUUGUUUAGCAUCACUUUCUUGUUCUGCCUCCACAUUUCAAUCGUCAGAGGAUUCAGCAGUUGUUAAAUGGUUAAGAUUCAUUUUCCUCUCUCCAUGUCCACAAAGGACUCUUCUAUCUUCCAUUGAUGUG
Molecule: long non-coding RNA, 777 nt
Filed under: Nicotiana tabacum (common tobacco)
Lineage: Eukaryota; Viridiplantae; Streptophyta; Magnoliopsida; Solanales; Solanaceae
Description: long non-coding RNA (NTAB_LNC002759)
Source: RNAcentral